AGCAGCAGCCACGGGAAUACGGAGGGGGCUAGCGUUGUUCGGAAUUACUGGGCGUAAAGCGCACGUAGGCGGCUUGGUAAGUUAGAGGUGAAAGCCCGGAGCUCAACUCCGGAAUUGCCUUUAAGACUGCCGAGCUAGCAGGUGAGAGAGGUAAGUGGAAUUCCGAGUGUAGAGGUGAAAUUCGUAGAUAUUCGGAAGAACACCAGUGGCGAAGGCGGCUUACUGGCUCAUACUGGACGCUGAGGUGCGAAAGCGUGGGGAGCAAACAGGAUUAGAUACCCCUGUAGUCCCUGUCUCUUAUAC
RNAcentral lists this ribosomal RNA (303 nucleotides) under uncultured bacterium. Its description in RNAcentral is "partial 16S ribosomal RNA". It matches the Rfam family "Bacterial small subunit ribosomal RNA", at positions 507 to 807 of the family's 1533-position model. The record is from RNAcentral.